GCGCGAAAGCCUUCGGGCGAGUAAAGCGGCGAAAGGGUGAGUAACACGUAACCAACGUACCCCUUGGAUCGGGAUAGCUACUGGAAACGGUAGGUAAUACCGAAUGGUCCUCUGGAUGGCAUCAUCUGGCAGGUAAACGGCGGCUUCGGCUGUUGCCGAGGGAGCGGGUUGCGGCCUAUCAGCUUGUUGGUGGGGUAACGGCCUACCAAGGCUACGACGGGUAGCGGGUCUGAGAGGAUGAUCCGUCACACUGGGACUGAGACACUGCCCAGACUCCUACGGGAGGCUGCAGUCGAGAAUCUUCCGCAAUGGGCGCAAGCCUGACGGAGCGACACCGCGUGUAGGAUGAAGGCUCUAGGGUUGUAAACUACUGUCACGCUCUAGGAAUGCUGCAGGGUUAAGAGCUAUGCAGUUGACCAAAGCGAGAGGAAGUGCCGGCUAACUCCGUGCCAGCAGCCGCGGUAAGACGGAGGGCACAAACGUUGUUCGGAAUCACUGGGCAUAAAGCGCACGUAGGCGGCCUAUUAAGUCAGAUGUGAAAGCCCUCGGCUCAACCGAGGAACAGCAUCUGAAACUGGCAGGCUCGAGGACGACAGGGGUGAGUGGAACUCCAGGUGGAACGGUGAAAUGUGUAGAUAUCUGGAGGAACACCGGUGGCGAAAGCGGCUCACUGGGUCGUCUCUGACGCUGAGGUGCGAAAGCUAGGGUAGCAAACGGGAUUAGAUACCCCGGUAGUCCUAGCCGUAAACGAUGGGCACUAAGUAGAGGG
This 769-nucleotide ribosomal RNA is filed under the name uncultured Planctomycetota bacterium. RNAcentral describes it as "bacterial SSU rRNA". It matches the Rfam family "Bacterial small subunit ribosomal RNA", at positions 64 to 827 of the family's 1533-position model. Lineage: Bacteria; Pseudomonadati; Planctomycetota. The record is from RNAcentral.